AAGCUCGUAGUUGAAUUUCGGGAUCAGACUGUCGGUCGUGCCUCGGUACGCACUGGCAUUAUUGGUUCCUACCUUCUGAAGAACCGCGAUGUCAUUAAUUUGGUGUCGCGGGGAAUCAGGACUGUUACUUUGAAAAAAUUGAGUGUUUAAAGCAGGCUUACGCUUGAAUACAUUAGCAUGGAAUAAUGAAAUAGGACGUUUGAUUCUAUUUUGUUGGUUUCUAGGAUCGACGUAAUGAUUAAUAGGGAUAGUUGGG
Molecule: ribosomal RNA, 256 nt
Filed under: uncultured Glomus
Lineage: Eukaryota; Fungi; Glomeromycota; Glomeromycetes; Glomerales; Glomeraceae
Description: partial 18S ribosomal RNA
Rfam family: Eukaryotic small subunit ribosomal RNA
Source: RNAcentral